Molecule: ribosomal RNA, 451 nt
Filed under: uncultured bacterium
Lineage: Bacteria
Description: partial 16S ribosomal RNA
Rfam family: Bacterial small subunit ribosomal RNA
Source: RNAcentral
GUAGGGAAUAUUGGACAAUGGGGGGAACCCUGAUCCAGCCAUGCCGCGUGUGUGAAGAAGGCCUUUUGGUUGUAAAGCACUUUAAGCGAGGAGGAGGCUACCGAGAUUAAUACUCUUGGAUAGUGGACGUUACUCGCAGAAUAAGCACCGGCUAACUCUGUGCCAGCAGCCGCGGUAAUACAGAGGGUGCAAGCGUUAAUCGGAUUUACUGGGCGUAAAGCGCGCGUAGGUGGCCAAUUAAGUCAAAUGUGAAAUCCCCGAGCUUAAGUUGGGAAUUGCAUUCGAUACUGGUUGGCUAGAGUAUGGGAGAAGAUGGUAGAAUUCCAGGUGUAGCGGUGAAAUGCGUAGAGAUCUGGGGGAAUACCGAUGGCGAAGGCAGCCAUCUGGCCUAAUACUGACACUGAGGUGCGAAAGCAUGGGGAGCAAACGGGAUUAGAUACCCGGGUAGUCC